CCUACGGGGGGCAGCAGUGGGGAAUAUUGGACAAUGGGGGCAACCCUGAUCCAGCCAUGCCGCGUGUGUGAAGAAGGCCCUCGGGUUGUAAAGCACUUUCAGUGAGGAAGAACGCCUGGUGGUUAAUACCCAUCAGGAAAGACAUCACUCACAGAAGAAGCACCGGCUAACUCCGUGCCAGCAGCCGCGGUAAUACGGAGGGUGCGAGCGUUAAUCGGAAUUACUGGGCGUAAAGCGCGCGUAGGUGGCUUGAUAAGCCGGUUGUGAAAGCCCCGGGCUCAACCUGGGAACGGCAUCCGGAACUGGCAGGCUAGAGUGCAGGAGAGGAAGGUAGAAUUCCCGGUGUAGCGGUGAAAUGCGUAGAGAUCGGGAGGAAUACCAGUGGCGAAGGCGGCCUUCUGGACUGACACUGACACUGAGGUGCGAAAGCGUGGGUAGCAAACAGGAUUAGAUACCCUUGUAGUC
RNAcentral lists this ribosomal RNA (465 nucleotides) under Vreelandella stevensii. Its description in RNAcentral is "partial 16S ribosomal RNA". It matches the Rfam family "Bacterial small subunit ribosomal RNA", at positions 338 to 795 of the family's 1533-position model. Lineage: Bacteria; Pseudomonadati; Pseudomonadota; Gammaproteobacteria; Oceanospirillales; Halomonadaceae. The record is from RNAcentral.